Molecule: unclassified non-coding RNA, 346 nt
Filed under: soil metagenome
Description: partial contains 5.8S ribosomal RNA, internal transcribed spacer 2, and large subunit ribosomal RNA
Rfam family: 5.8S ribosomal RNA (bases 1-120)
Source: RNAcentral
GAUGAAGAACGCAGCGAAAUGCGAUAAGUAAUGUGAAUUGCAGAAUUCAGUGAAUCAUCGAGUCUUUGAACGCACAUUGCGCCCCCUGGUAUUCCGGGGGGCAUGCCUGUCCGAGCGUCAUUGCUGCCCUCAAGCCCGGCUUGUGUGUUGGGUCUCGUCCCCCUUCCCGGGGGGACGGGCCCGAAAGGCAGCGGCGGCACCGCGUCCGGUCCUCGAGCGUAUGGGGCUUUGUCACCCGCUCUGUAGGCCCGGCCGGCGCUUGCCGAUCAACCAAAACUUUUUUCCAGGUUGACCUCGGAUCAGGUAGGGAUACCCGCUGAACUUAAGCAUAUCAAUAAGCGGAGGA